UACGUAGGCAGCGAGCGUUGUUCGGAGUUACUGGGCGUAAAGGGUGUGUAGGCGGUUCUUUAAGUUUGGUGUGAAAUCUCCCGGCUCAACCGGGAGGGUGCGCCGAAUACUGAGGGACUUGGAGUGCGGGAGAGGAAAGCGGAAUUCCUGGUGUAGCGGUGAAAUGCGUAGAUAUCAGGAGGAACACCGGUGGUGUAGACGGCUUUCUGGACCGUAACUGACGCUGAGACACGAAAGCGUGGGUAGCAAACAGG
Molecule: ribosomal RNA, 254 nt
Filed under: uncultured bacterium
Lineage: Bacteria
Description: partial 16S ribosomal RNA
Rfam family: Bacterial small subunit ribosomal RNA
Source: RNAcentral